AGAAAGGGUUGAGUGCCGUGCGUUACAUACGCCUGGUGAUGAUGUUGAGUGUUCUAGGGCCUCAAUUACUGAAAGUACCAAGUGUGUUUUCUGAUAAGCCUUUGGGGUGAAAAUUGCCACGACCAGAUGUCAUGCAUGGUGCUUUUUUAAAUUUUAAUGUAAGAGUGAAUAUCAUUAAGAGUAGCACAAAGGAAGUAACCUUGUGGUUCUGUAAAGAAUAGGAAGGUUUGUCUCUGCCGAUGCGUUAAACCACUCUGCACCUCUUCACGCAGGAUGUGAUGACGUCAUGCAGUGGCUCUAUGUUUCAGGUGUCUGUAGCAAUGUGUUGACCAUUACUGGAGAAAAAGUGCAGCAUCGGAAAAUGGGAGGAUGGUCGAUGGUGUGCAUUGUCCUGGACGGAUUUAUGAUGAGCACUGUUUUUUGAAUAGUAGGAGUGUGUGUGUGUGUGUGCUUAGAAAUAGUGUGAUGAAGGAGAGUGUGUUUUCCACUUUGUUGAAGUGUUUCUCUGCACUUUUUCCCCGUGUUGUCUGACCAACGUGUGAUUUUUCCUGGCGUGACAGUGUUCGUUGACCAAUGUCCUGACAUGUCCAGACCUGUUCUGUCAUGCUUUCCUUCUGCAUGUAGUUCUGUAUUUUUUUUUUCUUUUUGACAAGAAGCAUUCUUGUUGAAGCACUGUCGUGACGAUGUCGAUAGUGCUGCCCUGUAUGGGAGUAGUGCUAGAACGGUUCGUAAUAAUUUUGCGAUUGAAAUAGUUCAAAGAAAACCGCAAGGGGGACAGCUAUGGGGCUUUAUUCAGGAGGAACAAAGCGUCAUUAUUCAGUGAUCUGCCUGGCUCUCGGAUGGGACGGACACCCUCGCUGAGCUCGUUGGAGCUCGACGGAGCUCGUCCUAUUGAUGGUGUUACUUGUUAGGAUAUUUUGUUUUUUCCUGUAUUCAUAAGUCUCAUUUAGUAAGACUUUGGGAUUGAAAUGCUUAAUUCCUACGAUCAACUUCCAUGCAUGGUGCUUUUCUGCAAUAGUUUUUCUGUUUCCUAUGCAAUCAUUAUAGUAGAAUAAAGGAAAUAAUCUUGGGAUAGCGAUUCAAUAAAUAACAGGUCCCCUGUCUAGAGCGUACGCGUCCUUGAGCCGUGCUGCUGCAUGCUUGGGUGAUGACGUCAUGCCGCAUUCAUUGCAGGUGGAUCUUAACCCAAGGAGUUGCGUUGGCAGUUAGUGAAAAAAAAAAAAACACUGUAGGCUUGGGACAAUAGGAUGACGUCACGACCAAUGAGCAAGUCCUGCAGAGGGCGUAGGAGUUCACUUCUCUCAUAGCCUCUCGCAGGUACAGUCGCGUUACUUCUCACUGGUGGUCGUCGCAGGUGGCGCUAGGAGCGCGCCCGUAUGCGUAGCACCCGUAGCAGCCGCCGGCUCUAAAGCGAAACGCACCGCCUCGAAAAUAUUGUCGCCACCAGCGUGCCAGCUCGGAAGAUCUCUCAUUGGCUGCGCAUUAUAUGUAUAAAUAUUUGGAUGCUCAUUGGUCUAAAAAACGGGCGUCAGUUUCCUUCGCGCUGAUUGGGCGAGAGUCAUUUGACUGAGGAGCGAGCAUCCGAACGCGCGAACCGCUCAACGGAAGCAGUCGAACGGAGGAGAAAGAAGAACGACAGAGGAGACAUCGCGUCUGCAGUGUUGCCAGUUCUACUGAAAUUUCAGUAGAUCUACUGGAUUUCAGGUCCGCCUACUGAAAUACUGAAAAAAGAUCAAAAUGCGCUGAAAUCUACUGAUUUUUUUGCCUGAAACAUUGUUUUGCUUUGCGAACUCCAAUUUACGUUUGCUGACACUGUCUGAUUACAUUGUAGUUCGCGUACUAGCGGGAAAAUCAUGUCGUUCGUGCUGGGAGCACUAUAUGAGUGCUACACAAAUCCCGAAGAGAAUUAUUUUUGAUACAGUAAGGGGUCUACGUGUUAUGUGGCGAGCAGCUGCCCAAGUAAAACAACUUACAGCAAAUACAUUGAAGAAGUAUGCGCAUAUACCGUAAACAGUGACAGCUUUAGCUUUAACCAAGGACGACACAGCACAUAUUCCACAAAACAUGGACGACACAGACAUAUUCCACAGGACACCCGGUAAACCCACACCUCUCGUAGUUCCAUUGCAGAGGGAUGCCCAGAGUAGGGCUUAACAUAAUCACGUUCAGAUAUUCAUAUAGAUGGUCACAGUGCGACACAGUCAAUGCCCGCAACUGAAGACAUCUAACGACAGGAAGCUGGGCCACAAAACUAACGAAUCGAAAGGUAUAUCGGACAACAGAAAUCUCCCAUUUUUUAUUUUUUUCGUGGUGACUAUUUACCACGGAUGAAGUGAUGAAGUAGGGUUGUGGCGUACAGCGAGCACCAUUAGAUAAAAUCCGGUACCAUACGGUGCGGUUUAUUGCAGAGCGAAGCCCUUUGGAAGGAGGCGAAGGGCUUGCUUCGGCACUGCAGACGCAUGAUGGCGUCUGCUUCGCCCUGUUCUCUUGCAAUAAAGCUGUUUUUGUUACAUCUACUGAAUUUUACUGAAUUUCCUGGCGCCGGCCUCCCGCGCGUCUGUCCGGCCAUGCGUGUUCUCUUGGACUGCAACCGUUGUGCACGCAGACGCUACGGGGUAGUUUGAGGGCUUUGAAUGCUUUAGAUUUAGAUUGUGGCGAACUGCUAAUGUGAGAACGGAAUGGCACAUCCACCCCAUCAUCACAACAGCGGGAAGACGAACAUGACAUGGAAUCCGCCUGCACCUCCAAAGGACGCAGAAAUCGUCAGAGAGGAAGUCUGCACUCUUUCCGACGUACUGCAGGUGAACGUUCUCCCGCAACCAUCGGCAACAACGACGCACAUAGCUCAGCAUUGGCUUUUGAACGGCCCUUGGAUGUCGAAGUACCCAAAGCUCCAGUGAAGCCUGUUACAAGACGUAAAAAGAUAUGUACUGUAGCUUUUUCGAGACAGUUCCCGGGGACAAAUAAAGUUGAUUUGUCAUA
Long non-coding RNA from Ornithodoros turicata, 2982 nucleotides. RefSeq lists it as uncharacterized. NCBI's taxonomy places the organism in Eukaryota, Metazoa, Arthropoda, Arachnida, Ixodida, Argasidae. The transcript has 2 exons. The record is from RefSeq and is a predicted model, not a curated record.